Melanotaenia boesemani (Boeseman's rainbowfish) is the source of this 140-nucleotide small nucleolar RNA. NCBI's taxonomy places the organism in Eukaryota, Metazoa, Chordata, Actinopteri, Atheriniformes, Melanotaeniidae. The record is from RefSeq and is a predicted model, not a curated record.
AUGCACUGUCUUUGAACCUUUUUGGUCUUACCUGUGAUCUCCAAGGCCAAGCUACAGUGCUAUAGUAAAUUCAAGCUUGUUCAUAACUGGGGCUUCCUGGCAACAUUCCCAGGUUUCUCUUUUAAAUGCAAGUUACAUCU